UUUCAGGGCAAUGCAGUUCCACCUGAAAAUCAACAUCACUCAUUUUCCACAGCCCAAUUUGAGGAAGAGAGAAUGCCAAAAACUAAGAUGGUAUUCUUCAAAUCCUCAGGCAGUUUGCUGGGAAGAAAAAGGCAGUAACUAAGAAGCCAUGAUUUUUUCUUUCCUCUCUCUCUAUGUCUAUUCUGUGCUUCAAUGUCUCAAGAAAUCAAUUCAAAUAAACAGGCUAUGUUCUAGCUCUCCUUUUCUA
This is a non-coding RNA of Salvia hispanica, 247 nucleotides long. The record is from RefSeq and is a predicted model, not a curated record. Lineage: Eukaryota; Viridiplantae; Streptophyta; Magnoliopsida; Lamiales; Lamiaceae.